RNAcentral lists this ribosomal RNA (497 nucleotides) under uncultured bacterium. RNAcentral describes it as "partial 16S ribosomal RNA". It matches the Rfam family "Bacterial small subunit ribosomal RNA", at positions 28 to 507 of the family's 1533-position model. The record is from RNAcentral.
GAUGAACGCUGGCGGCGUGCCUAAUACAUGCAAGUCGAGCGAACAGACGAGGAGCUUGCUCCUCUGACGUUAGCGGCGGACGGGUGAGUAACACGUGGAUAACCUACUUAUAAGACUGGGAUAACUCCGGGAAACCGGAGCUAAUACCGGAUAAUAUAUUGAACCGCAUGGUUCAAUAGUGAAAGACGGCUUUGCUGUCACUUAUAGUUGGAUCCGCGCCGCAUUAGCUAGUUGGUAAGGUAACGGCUUACCAAGGCAACGAUGCGUAGCCGACCUGAGAGGGUGAUCGGCCACACUGGAACUGAGACACGGUCCAGACUCCUACGGGAGGCAGCAGUAGGGAAUCUUCCGCAAUGGGCGAAAGCCUGACGGAGCAACGCCGCGUGAGUGAUGAAGGUCUUCGGAUCGUAAAACUCUGUUAUUAGGGAAGAACAAAUGUGUAAGUAACUAUGCACGUCUUGACGGUACCUAAUCAGAAAGCCACGGCUAACUACGUG